Molecule: transfer RNA, 131 nt
Filed under: Marmota monax (woodchuck)
Lineage: Eukaryota; Metazoa; Chordata; Mammalia; Rodentia; Sciuridae
Description: tRNA.Ala
Source: RNAcentral
GGUUAGAGCUCAGUGGUAGAGUACUUGCCUAGCAUGUGUCUGAGAAAACAAUUUUAACUAUUCCUGUUCAAUAAUUAUCUAGAACCUAGGGCCUAGCAUGUGUGAGGCCCUGGGUUCAAUCCUCAGCACCA